Mobula hypostoma (lesser devil ray) is the source of this 98-nucleotide non-coding RNA. Lineage: Eukaryota; Metazoa; Chordata; Chondrichthyes; Myliobatiformes; Myliobatidae. The record is from the annotation of a RefSeq genome assembly.
GCUGCGGUGGGUGACUAACAUAGACGGAGAGUGGUUAAGGCGUUGGACUUGAAAUCCAAUGGGGAUUCCCCACGCAGGUUCGAGCCCUGCUCGCAGCG